Molecule: long non-coding RNA, 434 nt
Filed under: Homo sapiens (human)
Lineage: Eukaryota; Metazoa; Chordata; Mammalia; Primates; Hominidae
Description: HSALNT0204078
Source: RNAcentral
AGCUCCAGAGGGAAGUGAGAAGGAUGUUCACUUGCUGGUGAGAGAAGGAGCUGGUUCCAUCCAUUACGCAGUCCCCUGGGAGCGCUAAAUGCAACUUUAUCUCAACGGGGAGUGGACGAUGAGCAGGACGUCGCUAGAGGGAAAGAGCACAAAGGAAGUAGACCAAGGAGACUGAAGGUGGUUAUGAAGACUGUGCAUCUCUGAGGACAUCUUAAACAAAGAUGACCCAAAUCUUUGAUCUUCAAAUAGUCGAUGUGAACUGCUUAACAAAAUGCCCUGGGAAAACUCUGUCUGAAACAAGCAGCUUGGGGGUUUGAUUUCAUUAGUUACUGGACAAGAACUGGAAUGGAGUGAAAAAUCUUCAUUCAUUUCUUGGUCAGAUGGAGAGAGGAGAAAAAAAGAAGUGGGUUUCCAUUCACUUCCAUUUUCUAACU